RNAcentral lists this ribosomal RNA (496 nucleotides) under Staphylococcus saprophyticus. RNAcentral's name for it is "bacterial SSU rRNA". It matches the Rfam family "Bacterial small subunit ribosomal RNA", at positions 28 to 506 of the family's 1533-position model. Lineage: Bacteria; Bacillati; Bacillota; Bacilli; Caryophanales; Staphylococcaceae. The record is from RNAcentral.
GAUGAACGCUUGGCGGCGUGCCUAAUWACAUGCAAGUCGAGCGAACAGAUAAGGAGCUUGCUCCUUUGACGUUAGCGGCGGACGGGUGAGUAACACGUGGGUAACCUACCUAUAAGACUGGGAUAACUUCGGGAAACCGGAGCUAAUACCGGAUAACAUUUGGAACCGCAUGGUUCUAAAGUGAAAGAUGGUUUUGCUAUCACUUAUAGAUGGACCCGCGCCGUAUUAGCUAGUUGGUAAGGUAACGGCUUACCAAGGCGACGAUACGUAGCCGACCUGAGAGGCUGAUCGGCCACACUGGAACUGAGACACGGUCCAGACUCUACGGGAGGCAGCAGUAGGGAAUCUUCCGCAAUGGGCGAAAGCUGACGGAGCAACGCCGCGUGAGUGAUGAAGGGUUUCGGCUCGUAAAACUCUGUUAUUAGGGAAGAACAAAUGUGUAAGUAACUGUGCACGUCUUGACGGUACCUAAUCAGAAAGCCACGGCUAACUACGU